UACCUUAGAAACUGCAUUGCAUUUUCAUUUCAAGAGUUAUUGGGGGAACAUAGUAAAUCUAGGUCACCGAUGUUGACCUCUUUCAGAAGUGACAGUUGUGAUCACUGUACUUAUUAACAAUAAUAUAAACCCACUUAGUUGCUUUUCAGAAUUUGAUGGCACGCUCUUAAGAGCUAGCAUCUCGGGGUUGGGUUCAGGAUGUCCUGAUGGCAGGACAUGUCAGGAAGAUGGGACCUUGUUUGUUUUCCAAAGAUGUGUCUGAGUCCUUCAGUUGUUUCUCUGUUGUCUAGAUAGAUGGACCCAGGUAAAAGCUCCCGGGCAAUAGUGGGCAGGGUGAGAAGGGAUGGUAAAUAGUCAGGAGAGGCGAAUGGCAGAGCUCAGCUACUUCCCAGGCAGAGUAGGAGGCACUCGGAUGAGAUGUCU
This 423-nucleotide long non-coding RNA is filed under the name Mus pahari (shrew mouse). Its description in RNAcentral is "predicted gene 14209 (MGP_PahariEiJ_G0032972.1)". Lineage: Eukaryota; Metazoa; Chordata; Mammalia; Rodentia; Muridae. The record is from RNAcentral.